UCGCUUGUUUUACAAAAACAUGUCUUUUUGAUUAUAAUCUAAAGUCUAACCUGCCCACUGAUAAAAAUUAAAGGGCCGCGGUAUAUUGACUGUGCAAAGGUAGCAUAAUCAUUUGUCUCUUAAUUGGAGGCUAGAAUGAAUGGUUGAAUGAAAUAUUAACUGUCUCAUUUUUAAAAAAAUAAAAAUUUAGCUUUUAAGUUAAAAGGCUUAAAUAUAUUUAAAAGACGAGAAGACCCUAUAGAUCUUUAUAAUUAUUUUAUUAAUAUAAAAUAGAAAAAUAUUAUAUAAAAUUAAAUUAAUUAUUUUAUUGGGGUGAUAGGAAAAUUAAAUAAACUUUUUUUAUUUAUAAACAUUGAUUUAUGAUAAAUUGAUCCAUUUUUAUUGAUUAUAAGAUUAAGUUACCUUAGGGAUAACAGCGUAAUUUUUUUAAAGAGUUCAUAUCGAUAAAAAAGAUUGCGACCUCGAUGUUGAAUUAAAGGUUAUUUCUAGAUGCAGAAGUUUAGAGUUUAGGUCUGUUCGACCUUUAAAUCUUUACAUGAUCUGAGU
Molecule: ribosomal RNA, 546 nt
Filed under: Glenochrysa opposita
Lineage: Eukaryota; Metazoa; Arthropoda; Insecta; Neuroptera; Chrysopidae
Description: partial 16S ribosomal RNA
Rfam family: Bacterial large subunit ribosomal RNA
Source: RNAcentral